RNAcentral lists this ribosomal RNA (497 nucleotides) under uncultured bacterium. RNAcentral describes it as "partial 16S ribosomal RNA". It matches the Rfam family "Bacterial small subunit ribosomal RNA", at positions 28 to 507 of the family's 1533-position model. The record is from RNAcentral.
GAUGAACGCUGGCGGCGUGCCUAAUACAUGCAAGUCGAGCGAACAGAUGAGGAGCUUGCUCCUCUGACGUUAGCGGCGGACGGGUGAGUAACACGUGGAUAACCUACCUAUAAGACUGGGAUAACUUCGGGAAACCGGAGCUAAUACCGGAUAAUAUAUUGAACCGCAUGGUUCAAUAGUGAAAGACGGUUUUGCUGUCACUUAUAGAUGGAUCCGCGCCGCAUUAGCUAGUUGGUAAGGUAACGGCUUACCAAGGCAACGAUGCGUAGCCGACCUGAGAGGGUGAUCGGCCACACGGGAACUGAGACACGGGCCAGACUCCUACGGGAGGCAGCAGUAGGGAAUCUUCCGCAAUGGGCGAAAGCCUGACGGAGCAACGCCGCGUGAGUGAUGAAGGUCUUCGGAUCGUAAAACUCUGUUAUUAGGGAAGAACAAAUGUGUAAGUAACUAUGCACGUCUUGACGGUACCGAAUCAGAAAGCCACGGCUAACUACGUG